UUCAUACUGUCAAACAGAUUAUAAAACAUCUUCAAAAAGGAAACCAUUUGUGUCAUGAUCAGGUGACAAUGGCUUGUUAACCCCUGCGGCUGGAUUCUCUGCAGUGAUGCUGAGCAACAACUUGCUUCGCGUGCAUGCAAUCCAAGGCAUAGGUGCGCGGUUUUUCCUUCGAAGAAAUGUUAAUUUUUAGCGCCGAGAUCCUUUUCCUCCUGAUCGAACCGAUCUGCGCGUAUCUCAGCAACGAUAAUGAUGUUCUUGAUUCUUU
RNAcentral lists this long non-coding RNA (265 nucleotides) under Setaria viridis. RNAcentral's name for it is "long non-coding RNA (SVIR_LNC007453)". Lineage: Eukaryota; Viridiplantae; Streptophyta; Magnoliopsida; Poales; Poaceae. The record is from RNAcentral.